GAUGAACGCUGACAGAAUGCUUAACACAUGCAAGUCGAUUCAAGUUACCUUCGGGUAAUGAGGAUGGCGGACGGGUGAGUAACGCGUAAGGAACUUGCCUCUUGGUCUGGGACAACUGUUGGAAACGACAGCUAAUACCGGAUAUUAUGAGAUUCUCGCAUGGGAAACUUAUGAAAGCUAUAUGCGCCAAGAGAGAGCCUUGCGUUCCAUUAGCUAGUUGGUGGGGUAACGGCCCACCAAGGCGACGAUGGAUAGCCGGCCUGAGAGGGUGAACGGCCACAAGGGGACUGAGACACGGCCCUUACUCCUACGGGAGGCAGCAGUGGGGAAUAUUGGACAAUGGGCCACAAGCCUGAUCCAGCAAUUCUGUGUGCACGAUGAAGGUCUUCGGAUUGUAAAGUGCUUUCAGUUGGGAAGAAGAAAGUGACGGUACCAACAGAAGAAGCGACGGCUAAAUACGUGCCAGCAGCCGCGGUAAUACGUAUGUCGCAAGCGUUAUCCGGAUUUAUUGGGCGUAAAGCGCGUCUAGGCGGAAAAAUAAGUCUGAUGUUAAAAUGCGGGGCUCAACUCCGUAUUGCGUUGGAAACUGUUUUUCUAGAGUACUGGAGAGGUGGGCGGAACUACAAGUGUAGAGGUGAAAUUCGUAGAUAUUUGUAGGAAUGCCGAUGGAGAAGUCAGCUCACUGGNCAGAUACUGACGCUGAAGCGCGAAAGCNUGGGGAGCAAACAGGAUUAGAUACCCUGGUAGUCCACGCCGUAAACGANGAUCACUAG
This 773-nucleotide ribosomal RNA is filed under the name uncultured prokaryote. RNAcentral's name for it is "bacterial SSU rRNA". It matches the Rfam family "Bacterial small subunit ribosomal RNA", at positions 28 to 819 of the family's 1533-position model. The record is from RNAcentral.